AUUGAACGCUGGCGGCAUGCCUUACACAUGCAAGUCGAACGGCAGCACGGGAGCAAUCGUGGUGGCGAGUGGCGAACGGGUGAGUAAUAUAUCGGAACGUGCUCAGUCGUGGGGGAUAACGCAGCGAAAGCUGUGCUAAUACCGCAUACGCGCUAAGGAUGAAAUCGGGGGAUCGCAAGACCUCGCGCGAAUGGAUCGGCCGAUAGCAGAUUAGCUAGUUGGUGGGGUAAAGGCCCACCAAGGCGACGAUCGGUAGCUGGUCUGAGAGGACGACCAGCCACACUGGAACUGAGACACGGACCAGACUCCUACGGGAGGCAGCAGUGGGGAAUUUUGCGCAAUGGACGCAAGCCUGAUCCAGCAAUGCCGCGUGCAGGAUGAAGGCUUUCGGGUUGUAAACUGCUUUUGUACGGAAAGAAACGGUCCUUUCUAAUACAGGGGGCUAAUGACGGUACCGUACGAAUAAGCACCGGCUAACUACGUGCCAGCAGCCGCAGUAA
Molecule: ribosomal RNA, 500 nt
Filed under: uncultured bacterium
Lineage: Bacteria
Description: partial 16S ribosomal RNA
Rfam family: Bacterial small subunit ribosomal RNA
Source: RNAcentral